Non-coding RNA from Cricetulus griseus (Chinese hamster), 1737 nucleotides. Lineage: Eukaryota; Metazoa; Chordata; Mammalia; Rodentia; Cricetidae. The record is from RefSeq and is a predicted model, not a curated record.
GGGUGCACACAGACCCCCGCGACACGGAGACCCGGUCUGGGGAGGUCGCGGCCCUGUGUCUCCAGAGGGCGAGUCCCUGCCGAACCCCAGCUGGAGCGACGGGCGAGGAGGAAGGGGGGGAGCAGAAAAGAAACACGGAGCCACGAGGACCCCCACCCGGGAUAGGAAGCGCCAGGCCACCGGAAAUCCUCCUCCGCCUCAGGACAAGUGCGGUGGGCAGAGAAGCGAGGACUGACCCUGCGGCCCCGGCCGGGAACCAACUGCUGGGGGGACCACGCCGAAAGCUACGUCUCCUUACCGACGGCGCCCACCGCCAGAGACUACAACUCCCAGAAGCCUCCGCCCGCGGACCCCAGAAUGCGUGGCAGUGCCGCCGCUUUCUUAUCCGGAAGCGGCUAAGGAAUUCUUAGCGCGCAUGCGCUCAUGGGAUUCUUCUCAGUCUUUGGGAACUAUAUUUCCCAGCGGGCUCUGGGGCUCGUGAGAGGCGAACACCUUCACUAGUGAGCGCUCCCAGAGCGUCCUCUUAACCCAUCCCUUAGCAAAGGCUCUCCGGAAAUCCGCGGCGUGUCAGGAUUCGGUCAGAGAAGGCUCAGUUGACCUAAAGUUGUCUUCGUCAUUGUCUUGCUGCUUGCAGGUGGCAGUAAGAUUCUCGUCCUUAAAGUUCUUACAAAGAAAAUACUGUGAACGCCGUGGGAAAGCUACUGGAGCGUUGCAGGAAAGUGGCUUGAGUUGAGAAAUCUCCCUUCUGAACUCCCAAAGAAACCCAACCCCUAUUAUUACCGUCUUUAAAAGUUUAACGAGCGUUCCCCUGGAGACGUCUUAUUUUACCUUCAAGACUGCUCCCUCAAAAUUUCAUAUCAGAAAUAUACCAAAAUUUCAUCAUAUUUUGAGGAAACUGCCUUGACUCCAUUUGAAGACCAGGUACAGUGACAGAAGCUGAACCCAGAUAAAGCAAAACUGAGCCUAACUGGAAAGAGGAAAAAUUGGCAAUCUGACGAGAUAUCCAAUAUCAACUUUUUUGAAGAGCCAACACUGUCAGGCUGUGCUUCUCGGGAGCUAACCUAAGCAAGGAAUUCAGCACUCAUUCCUAUCACAUGAAGAGGAGGAAGAAAAGUAGAGAGAGGAGGAGGAGGAAGAGGAAAAGGAGGAGAAAGAGAAGGAGAGGGAAGAGGAGAUGGAGACGAUGGAGAGGAGGAGAAGAAGGAGGAGAGGAAUGGUGAUGACUUGUUUCAGGCAGAAACUUGGUUACACAUAUUACAUAUGUACGAUGUACCUACUUGAGGACCAAGACAUUUCCUCUAUUGUGAAGAAACAUGCUGGCUGAUCCUGAAGAGGCAAGCAAAAUUGGAAGGGAAAUGUAGGACUGCAAAGGUACAAUGUAUAGGUUAAAGGAUUGUUUCCUCCUCUUUCUCCCCCUCCUCCUCCUCUCCCUCUUCUCACCUCUGCUCUCUAAUGUUAGCAGUAGAACCCAGGGCCAUGUACUCACUAAACAAGCGCUCUGCCACUGAGGUAAAACCUUGCUAUUCUGCAUUUCCAAGAAGCUUCUUACUGGUCCAUAUAACAUUCAGGUCUCCUUUUCUGACAUGACACUUGCCCUGGUUAGUCAUCCAACAGUAUUGCAUUGUCCAUUUUUCUUACUUAGUUCUAAGGACAGAAAAGGAAGGUAACAGCCACUGUUGUCAAGCCUUAAUACUCUGAGACCUCCUUAAAUGUAACAUGAAAAGAUUCCUACAUCAU